UACGUAGGGUGCGAGCGUUAAUCGGAAUUACUGGGCGUAAAGCGUGCGCAGGCGGUCUGUUAAGACCGAUGUGAAAUCCCCGGGCUUAACCUGGGAACUGCAUUGGUGACUGGCAGGCUAGAGUAUGGCAGAGGGGGGUAGAAUUCCACGUGUAGCAGUGAAAUGCGUAGAGAUGUGGAGGAAUACCGAUGGCGAAGGCAGCCCCCUGGGCCAAUACUGACGCUCGUGCACGAAAGCGUGGGGAGCAAACAGG
RNAcentral lists this ribosomal RNA (253 nucleotides) under uncultured bacterium. Its description in RNAcentral is "partial 16S ribosomal RNA". It matches the Rfam family "Bacterial small subunit ribosomal RNA", at positions 524 to 776 of the family's 1533-position model. The record is from RNAcentral.